GCAGAAUUACAGGGGUAACCUUUUCACGCGAUUGGGUGGUGGGCGUAUGGGACGAGCUGCCGGAGGAGGAAGUCGAGGCAGGGACCAUUGCAGCGGUUAAGACACAUUUAGACACUGUACAUGGAUAGGACAGGUUUGGAGGGAUAAGGGCAGGUGGGACUGGUGUAGAUGUGGCAAGUUGG
Molecule: long non-coding RNA, 182 nt
Organism: Amblyraja radiata (thorny skate)
Lineage: Eukaryota; Metazoa; Chordata; Chondrichthyes; Rajiformes; Rajidae
Exons: 3
Source: RefSeq, a predicted model, not a curated record